This 253-nucleotide ribosomal RNA is filed under the name uncultured prokaryote. Its description in RNAcentral is "partial 16S ribosomal RNA". It matches the Rfam family "Bacterial small subunit ribosomal RNA", at positions 524 to 776 of the family's 1533-position model. The record is from RNAcentral.
UACGUAGGUGGCGAGCGUUAUUCGGAUUCACUGGGCGUAAAGGGUCCGCAGGGGGCCUGCCAAGUCUGUCGUGAAAUCCCGGGGCUCAACCCCGGGUCUGCGGUGGAAACAGGCGGGCUGGAGUGUGUGAGGGGUAGACGGAACACCUGGUGUAGCGGUGGAAUGCGUGGAUAUCAGGUGGAACACCGAUGGCGAAGGCGGUCUACUGGCACACAACUGACCCUCAGGGACGAAAGCGUGGGUAGCAAACAGG